RNAcentral lists this unclassified non-coding RNA (331 nucleotides) under fungal sp. RNAcentral's name for it is "partial contains 5.8S ribosomal RNA, internal transcribed spacer 2, and large subunit ribosomal RNA". The stretch from base 1 to 71 matches the Rfam family "5.8S ribosomal RNA", at positions 84 to 154 of the family's 154-position model. Lineage: Eukaryota; Fungi. The record is from RNAcentral.
GUGAGUCAUCGAAUCUUUGAACGCACCUUGCGCUCUUUGGUAUUCCGAAGAGCAUGCCUGUUCGAGUGUCAUUAAAUUCUCAACUCCUCAAAGGUUGUCAUGACCUUUGUUGAGCUUGGACGUGAGGGCUGCCGGCUACCCAGUCGGCUCCCUUGAAAUUGAUUAGCGCAGCUUUGGCGAGCCGCUUCAAGUGUGAUAAUCUAUCUACUCUUGAGUGUCGUCUAAAACGGCUUUGUGCUUCAAACCGUCCCUCGUGGACAACAUUUUUUGAACUUGACCUCGAAUCAGGUAGGACUACCCGCUGAACUUAAGCAUAUCAAUAAGCGGAGGA